GCAAGUCAUUGGGAAUGUAAACCCAAAGGCAUAAUGAAAGUAAAGAAUUCGAUUGCGAAUUUGAGGAGAGAUCAAGGGCAGAGAGGGGGUUUCGUAAGACUCCUUCUCUCUGUUUUGCGCAUCUCCUGGACGUCUAUACCUCUGAAGGUUGGGCGUACCAAGAGCAUAUACGUUGGGACCCAGAAGGUGGUGAACUAUGCCUGGUCAGAACGAAGUCAGGGGAAACUCUGAUGGAGGUUCGUAGCGAUUCUGACGUGCAAAUCGAUCGUCGGAACU
RNAcentral lists this ribosomal RNA (276 nucleotides) under Isotomurus unifasciatus. Its description in RNAcentral is "D3 fragment of large subunit of ribosomal RNA". It matches the Rfam family "Eukaryotic large subunit ribosomal RNA", at positions 686 to 912 of the family's 3401-position model. Lineage: Eukaryota; Metazoa; Arthropoda; Collembola; Entomobryomorpha; Isotomidae. The record is from RNAcentral.